GACAGAAUGACAGGUGGUGCAUGGUUGUCGUCAGCUCGUGUCGUGAGAUGUUGGGUUAAGUCCCGCAACGAGCGCAACCCUUAUUACUAGUUGCCAGCAUUAAGUUGGGCACUCUAGUGAGACUGCCGGUGACAAACCGGAGGAAGGUGGGGACGACGUCAAAUCAUCAUGCCCCUUAUGACCUGGGCUACACACGUGCUACAAUGGAUGGUACAACGAGUYGCGAGACCGCGAGGUUAAGCUAAUCUCUUAAAACCAUUCUCAGUUCGGACUGUAGGCUGCAACUCGCCUACACGAAGUCGGAAUCGCUAGUAAUCGCGGAUCAGCAUGCCGCGGUGAAUACGUUCCCGGGCCUUGUACACACCGCCSGUCACACCAUGAGAGUUUGUAACACCCAAAGCCGGU
This 405-nucleotide ribosomal RNA is filed under the name Pediococcus pentosaceus. Its description in RNAcentral is "bacterial SSU rRNA". Lineage: Bacteria; Bacillati; Bacillota; Bacilli; Lactobacillales; Lactobacillaceae. The record is from RNAcentral.